This 512-nucleotide ribosomal RNA is filed under the name uncultured eubacterium WR871. Its description in RNAcentral is "bacterial SSU rRNA". It matches the Rfam family "Bacterial small subunit ribosomal RNA", at positions 9 to 527 of the family's 1533-position model. The record is from RNAcentral.
GAGUUUGAUCAUGGCUCAGAUUGAACGCUGGCGGCAUGCCUAACACAUGCAAGUCGAACGGGAGUAGCAAUACUCUAGUGGCGGACGGGUGAGGAAUACAUAGGAAUUUGCCCUUAAGUGGGGGAUAGUCCGGGGAAACUCGGUUUAAUACCGCAUGAUCUCGUGAGAGCAAAGCAGGGGACCGCAAGGCCUUGCGCUUUUGGAGAAGCCUAUGUCGGAUUAGCUAGUUGGUGAGGUAAUGGCUCACCAAGGCGACGAUCCGUAACUGGUCUGAGAGGAUGAUCAGUCACACCGGAACUGAGACACGGUCCGGACUCCUACGGGAGGCAGCAGUGGGGAAUAUUGGACAAUGGGCGAAAGCCUGAUCCAGCAAUGCCGCGUGUGUGAAGAAGGCCUUCGGGUUGUAAAGCACUUUAGGUUGGGAAGAAAAAAUUCGGGCAAAUAUCCCGAGUCUUGACGGUACCGACAGAAUAAGCACCGGCUAACUCUGUGCCAGCAGCCGCGGUAAUACG